Molecule: ribosomal RNA, 553 nt
Filed under: uncultured Nitrososphaerota archaeon
Lineage: Archaea; Thermoproteati; Nitrososphaerota
Description: bacterial SSU rRNA
Rfam family: Archaeal small subunit ribosomal RNA
Source: RNAcentral
ACGGGGUGCAGCAGGCGCGAAAACUUUGCAAUGUGCGAAAGCACGACAAGGUUAAUCCGAGUGGUUUCUGCUAAAGAAACCUUUUGUCAGUCCUAGAAACACUGAUGAAUAAGGGGUGGGCAAGUCCUGGUGUCAGCCGCCGCGGUAAAACCAGCACCUCAAGUGGUCAGGAUGAUUAUUGGGCCUAAAGCAUCCGUAGCUCGUUUUGUAAGUUUUCGGUUAAAUCCAUGCGCUUAACGUAUGGGCUGCCGGGAAUACUGCAUAACUAGGAAGUGGGGGAGGUAGACGGUACUCGGUAGGAAGGGGUAAAAUCCUUUGAUCUAUUGAUGACCACCUGUGGCGAAGGCGGUGUACCAGAACACGUUCGACGGUGAGGGAUGAAAGCUGGGGGAGCAAACCGGAUUAGAUACCCGGGUAGUCCCAGCUGUAAACGAUGCAGACUCGGUGAUGCAUUGGCUUGUGGCCAAUGCAGUGCCGCAGGGAAGCCGUUAGGUCUGCCGUCUGGGAAGUACGUACGCAAGUAUGAAACCUAAAGGAAUUGGCGGGGGAGCAC